GAAUAUAGAUCUACUUCCCGUCAUUAUUGGAACUGUAAUAGGACUGAUUGUUUUUGUUCUGGCGUGCCUUUGCUUAAUAAAAAGUCUAUGUAAGAUAGCAAAGACGCAAUUUACAUACGAAUCGGGCCGAAGGACAAUUUUGGAAGGAAAGUGUAAUGAAAAUAGAGAUUCAGAUCACGUGUACAGUACUCAUAGCAUAUACAAUGCAACCUACGACUAUUCAGGAACUACAAACGCACGCAAGUCUUCCCAUUUCUAUGAUGACAUUGAUAGCUUAAACAAAGACGUUUAAAGAUUUAGAUAAUUAUAUCAGAAACAUCGAUUUAUUGUAGAUCUUAUUCCUUUUUCAGUCUAAAACCUUUACGGGUGCCAGAUGUGGAGCAGAAUCUGCUUACCCUUCUGGAGCACCCGAGAUCACAAUAAGUUUUUGUAGGAUAUGUUGCUCAUUUUUUAGUUUAAAAAAAAAGUCUCGUAUUCUAGUUUUCCAGAAGGCAAAACUAGCUAAAUAGUACUUGUUUUACACAUAAGGGGAUAUGUACAUUAAUAUAUCUGAAUAUGUAUGUCAUUUUGUAAAAAAAAUAAAAGAGUUUACAAAUAA
Molecule: long non-coding RNA, 598 nt
Organism: Mytilus californianus (California mussel)
Lineage: Eukaryota; Metazoa; Mollusca; Bivalvia; Mytilida; Mytilidae
Exons: 4
Source: RefSeq, a predicted model, not a curated record